CCUACGGGAGGCAGCAGUGAGGAAUAUUGGUCAAUGGUCGGGAGACUGAACCAGCCAAGCCGCGUGAGGGAUGAAGGUACAGAGUAUCGUAAACCUCUUUUGUCAGGGAACAAAGGCGGGGACGUGUCCCCGGAUGAGUGUACCUGAAGAAAAAGCAUCGGCUAACUCCGUGCCAGCAGCCGCGGUAAUACGGAGGAUGCGAGCGUUAUCCGGAUUUAUUGGGUUUAAAGGGUGCGCAGGCGGUCUGUUAAGUCAGCGGGCAAAGCCCGGGGCUCAACCCCGGCCCGCCGUUGAAACUGGCAGUCUCGAGUUGGAGAGAAGUAUGCGGAAUGCGCGGUGCAGCGGUGAAAUGCAUAGAUAUCGCGCAGAACUCCGAUUGCGAAGGCAGCAUGCCGGCUCCACACUGACGCUGAGGCACGAAAGCGUGGGUAUCGAACAGGAUUAGAUACCCGGGUAGUC
Molecule: ribosomal RNA, 459 nt
Filed under: uncultured bacterium
Lineage: Bacteria
Description: partial 16S ribosomal RNA
Rfam family: Bacterial small subunit ribosomal RNA
Source: RNAcentral